UAUAAGCGUAUCAAAUUCCCUGAGAUUUCUAUUAUAAUGCCAAAAAAAAAGGUUUUCAUUAUUCUCUUUCUCUGCGACUCUUUGAUCGGCGAUUUUGAAUUUUGCUCUAUCAUGUUCGUAUAAGAAGACAGAGACUGGAUUCUUCUCUCAUUGAUCACAGAGAGUUUUCUCGAGAAUGCUUUCGCAACAGUCUACAUACUCUUCAGAUAUUUUUGAAGACUCAGAGAUUUCAAAGUGUCUAUGGACUUCAAGAUUGAUCACAGCGAUAAUUGAAAAAUAGACUCUGCAUAACAUCCCUCAGGGUAUAAAAAUGUCAACAAAGAUAGAAACACUAUCAUAAUCAAAACCUACUUCUGAUAAAAAUGAAGAAUUUGUUACAUUAAUUGCAACUCGGUCUUAGGUAAGUAAACAAUUUAGAUAAUCGUUAGAAAAAGAUACCUUUUACUUGUUUAGUAUUGUUAUGAACAUUUAGACGUGAGAAUAUGAUUUUAUUGGUUGUUUUAUGGACUAUUAUGUGGACUAUGGUUUAUAAUUUGAAGCUAUGGCUUAAAUCCGUUGGUCAUUCUAUGGAUUAUUCUUUGGAGCGAUGGCUUGAAUUUUGUUAGUGGUUGCAUGAUCUGUACUUACUUAAAUAUGUGUAUUGUGUGGUCUAAUAUGCUAACUUGAAUAUGUGCUUGUGUGGUUUAUGCUUUGAAGUUGUGACUUUUUCGGUUGUUUGUUGUGUAGUAUUUGUUUGCUUGAAUAUGUUGGUUGUUACACGGUGUUUUCUUACCUUAAUCUUUGUGUUGAUUGGUUUAGUGCUAACUUGAAUACCUUGUUUGUUUGAGUGGUCUAUGUAUUAAUUCAAAAAAUAGCUAUUACUAACAUUGAAAUUUAUGAUGAACUCGAAAAGAGAUGGUUAUUGAUUGUCCUUGGAAGAUUAUCUUACUUGAUUUGUAAUGAUUGCUUAGUAGUGGUUCGAUAUGAGACCUUUCUUUUGUUAUGAGUGUCUGAGAAGGGAGAAAAAAUAUUUAGUGCUCAAUUACAAUUUUCGUUGAUCAACAAUAUCUCUCCAGAUUACUAUAAAUUACGAUUAUUCAUGGAUAUACAUUUUAACAAGUUAUAUUUCAUCAUCUGUCUUUCAAGUUUGAUUGCUCCGUUAAUUUACUAAUAGAAAUCAUUAGUUUCUAGUUUUGUGUUGUGUUUCUUCGUGUCUGAAGCUAAUUUUGUAACCGUGAAUGAUACUAGUUCUCUUGUUUCUUGAAAGAUUUCAAUUUCUUUGUUAUGUAAAGUAACUGUUUCCAGAGAAAUUGUUUAAGUAUGAAAUACUUGUUAGCAGGUUUUUAACCUUUGGGGUUAAAAAAACUGGUGAAAGACUCAUCAAUGUUUCCUCCAAAACAUGAGCCUUUGAUACCAAAUGGUAAUGAUUGUUUCAGGGUUCUUCAACAUCUUUAGCUUUCCUUCAAUCUUCCACAGUCUUGCUUUCUUUAGGAACAUUCUUCAGAAUCUCUAAGAGAGACCACAAGCGUUUUGUUCUUAGUCUAUUUCUUGAAUGUUCUCUUCUAGUUCUAGUUUUUAUGUAGCUUGUUUGGCUUGAAGUUAUCUUCUUCCUUUUAAUAGACGUUAGAAUAUGGUUUAUAGAAACCAAAACAGAACCACAGAAAUUUUUGAAGUGCUUAAAAGAUAGAUGUUAC
Molecule: small RNA, 1673 nt
Filed under: Arabidopsis thaliana (thale cress)
Lineage: Eukaryota; Viridiplantae; Streptophyta; Magnoliopsida; Brassicales; Brassicaceae
Description: unknown gene (AT4G02005)
Source: RNAcentral